Molecule: long non-coding RNA, 1532 nt
Organism: Diceros bicornis minor
Lineage: Eukaryota; Metazoa; Chordata; Mammalia; Perissodactyla; Rhinocerotidae
Exons: 3
Source: RefSeq, a predicted model, not a curated record
GAGAAAAGGGAGGGUAGGAGAAAAUGAGUAGGUCUCUCUUUAUUUUACCUUCCUCAGACAGCAAAUGGCUUAUUUGAGAAAUCUUAGCUAAAAAGAAAUGCAAAUGUGCACUCUGGCAUUUCCAUACAGUGGCUGAAGAAUUCUAACUCAGUUCCAUUUCUUUUCCAGAAACUGAAAGAGCUGAUGAGUAACCAGCAGUCUCUGCAGUAUGGUGAAGUUACACUCCCUUUCCUAUGCACAAGCAAAUGAACUCUUCAGGGUAGCUCAAACCACUUCCACGCAGCACAUGAUUGACCUAAAGCACCUCAUUCUAGUCUCCUCAAGGAGAGGGGGCGCCAACCUGCCACAGUCUCCCAUAUUUGUUUUUAGGUUUUCAACUCCCAGUUCCAGCUCACCACAAGUGUAGGUGAAGCCUAGAUAAAUAUUGAGAUGAUGACCAGGGCUACAGUAAACAAGUGCUUCAAGAAAGGCAAAAUAAGAUAUCAAGAGAUAACAUAAUCUCUUGUUGUUACUAUAAUGAAUUGAGAUAAUAUGUUAAUUAGAUGAAUACUAAAAUCUUACUUGUGCCAAACGUGACUCCUGCAGGUUAUCUCUCAAGGUACUUUUUUUUCUAUAACCUUAGGGAAAAACUAGAGAUGAGAAGACAACACAUUUAUUGAAGUACAAUGUGUGUGAUGACUAGAAAUACUGAAUAAAAGGUGAUUCCUAUCGCUUGUGGUAAGAUAUUAAAUUUGUAUAAUAAACUUCUAAAAGUGUGAUUCUUCCCAUCAUUCCUAGUAAGAAUAAAUACUAUUGUUCUGCUAGUUUAUGAUGAUUUUCUUAUCAGUAUCCAACUCAGGCAGAAAUCUCAUGUUUCACUACUGGGCUUCCUCUCACUGUGAGAACUACUAUGUACUUGGCUGACCAUAUUGGCCUUGUUUUGCAUACUCAUUCAUGGAUGUAAGAGCCAUUCUUUCUAUAUUGGAAAAGCUAAAAGAGUAUCAGGUGUAGUAUCAAUUGACUAUUGGGUGAAUUGACCUAGCUCUCAGUAUUAGGAGUCCUUCAUCACCUAUAAGUCUCCUUCUGCCAAAGAAAAUAAUUUUUUUUCUGGCUGUGAAGACAGUGAAGAGAUAAAUGGUAUGAGGAGUCAUCAUUAGGGCUACUUUUCAUGGUGAUAUUAAGUAGAAUCAUGAACAACCAGGAAAAACCCAUCAAAUCUUGCUUUAGUGCCUUUCUUCAUGAAGGUAAUGCAAUUCCCAGGUCAGGAUUGGUCAGCGGUGAAAACUGGAGUUUCAAUACCCCGUUGGGUAUUUCAUGCAAUGCGGCAAGGGAAGUGUAAAACAUACAACUUGGCAAGACAGUUUUUGGCAUGGUUGAUAAUAAUUGGAGGAAUUUCAAGCGUUAUUCACAAUAGCCAAGAUUUGGAAGCAACCUAAGUGCCCAUCAAGGGACAAAUGGAUAAAGAAGAUGUGGUAUAUAUACACAAUGGAAUACUACUCAGCCAUAAGAAACGAUGAAAUCCAGCCAUUUGCGACAACAUGGAUGGACAUUGA